Molecule: non-coding RNA, 402 nt
Organism: Alosa alosa (allis shad)
Lineage: Eukaryota; Metazoa; Chordata; Actinopteri; Clupeiformes; Clupeidae
Source: the annotation of a RefSeq genome assembly
AUGGAAUAUUGCAUCACAGUAUUCAUACUAGUUGCUUAUUUCAGUGUGUGCUCUGCAAAGGGGGACUUCGUUACUCAACCUAAAGAUGAGACGGGUCUGGAGGGCAGCAUGGUGACACUCAGCUGCCAGUAUGAGACCACUGCCUUAGCAUCUCAACAGUAUCUCUUCUGGUACCAGCAGAAAACAAACGGAUUCCCAAAAUAUAUUCUACAGAAACCAGUUUUAGGACAAGACAAUGGCCCAGAUUUUAAGAGGAGAUUCAAUGCUACACUCAACACAGACACAAAAGCUGUUAAUCUGACGAUCCAGGAUCUGCAAGUGUCUGACUCUGCUGUGUACUACUGUGCUCUGCAGCCCACAGUGACAGCUGCAGACUCAGCUCUCAUACAAAAACUGUCUUAG